CCUACGGGAGGCUGCAGUGAGGAAUAUUGGUCAAUGGACGAGAGUCUGAACCAGCCAAGUAGCGUGAAGGAUGACUGCCCUAUGGGUUGUAAACUUCUUUUAUAUGGGAAUAAAACGUUCCACGUGUGGGAUUUUGUAUGUACCAUAUGAAUAAGGAUCGGCUAACUCCGAGCCAGCAGCCGCGGUAAUACGGAGGAUCCGAGCGUUAUCCAGAUUUAUUGGGUUUAAAGGGAGCGUAGGUGGAUUGUUAAGUCAGUUGUGAAAGUUUGCGGCUCAACCGUAAAAUUGCAGUUGAAACUGGCAGUCUUGAGUACAGUAGAGGUGGGCGGAAUUCGUGGUGUAGCGGUGAAAUGCUUAGAUAUCACGAAGAACUCCGAUUGCGAAGGCAGUUCACUGGACUGCAACUGACACUGAGGCUCGAAAGUGUGGGUAUCAAACAGGAUUAGAUACCCCAGUAGUC
This 460-nucleotide ribosomal RNA is filed under the name uncultured bacterium. RNAcentral's name for it is "partial 16S ribosomal RNA". It matches the Rfam family "Bacterial small subunit ribosomal RNA", at positions 338 to 795 of the family's 1533-position model. The record is from RNAcentral.